RNAcentral lists this ribosomal RNA (2372 nucleotides) under Campylobacter coli. RNAcentral describes it as "partial 23S ribosomal RNA". It matches the Rfam family "Bacterial large subunit ribosomal RNA", at positions 715 to 2925 of the family's 2925-position model. Lineage: Bacteria; Pseudomonadati; Campylobacterota; Epsilonproteobacteria; Campylobacterales; Campylobacteraceae. The record is from RNAcentral.
CCGAAACGAAGUGAUCUAUCCAUGAGCAAGUUGAAGCUAGUGUAAGAACUAGUGGAGGACUGAACCCAUAGGCGUUGAAAAGCCCCGGGAUGACUUGUGGAUAGGGGUGAAAGGCCAAUCAAACUUCGUGAUAGCUGGUUCUCUCCGAAAUAUAUUUAGGUAUAGCGUUGUGUCGUAAUAUAAGGGGGUAGAGCACUGAAUGGGCUAGGGCAUACACCAAUGUACCAAACCCUAUCAAACUCCGAAUACCUUAUAUGUAAUCACAGCAGUCAGGCGGCGAGUGAUAAAAUCCGUCGUCAAGAGGGAAACAACCCAGACUACCAGCUAAGGUCCCUAAAUCUUACUUAAGUGGAAAACGAUGUGAAGUUACUUAAACAACCAGGAGGUUGGCUUAGAAGCAGCCAUCCUUUAAAGAAAGCGUAAUAGCUCACUGGUCUAGUGAUUUUGCGCGGAAAAUAUAACGGGGCUAAAGUAAGUACCGAAGCUGUAGACUUGUGCACAACUUAGAUUAUUUAAGUUUAGAAUAUGAGAAACUAAGUUAUAUGUUUAGUUAUAUUUUUACUGAUUUUUAUAGAGUAAAGAUAGAAAUAAAACUUAGUAAAAUCAGUAAAAAUAUUCUUAGAUUAAAGUUAAGUAGUUUAAGUUGUGUGCAAGUGGUAGGAGAGCGUUCUAUUUGCGUCGAAGGUAUACCGGUAAGGAGUGCUGGAGCGAAUAGAAGUGAGCAUGCAGGCAUGAGUAGCGAUAAUUAAUGUGAGAAUCAUUAACGCCGUAAACCCAAGGUUUCCUACGCGAUGCUCGUCAUCGUAGGGUUAGUCGGGUCCUAAGUCGAGUCCGAAAGGGGUAGACGAUGGCAAAUUGGUUAAUAUUCCAAUACCAACAUUAGUGUGCGAUGGAAGGACGCUUAGGGCUAAGGGGGCUAGCGGAUGGAAGUGCUAGUCUAAGGUCGUAGGAGGUUAUACAGGCAAAUCCGUAUAACAAUACUCCGAGAACUGAAAGGCUUUUUGAAGUCUUCGGAUGGAUAGAAGAACCCCUGAUGCCGUCGAGCCAAGAAAAGUUUCUAAGUUUAGCUAAUGUUGCCCGUACCGUAAACCGACACAGGUGGGUGGGAUGAGUAUUCUAAGGCGCGUGGAAGAACUCUCUUUAAGGAACUCUGCAAAAUAGCACCGUAUCUUCGGUAUAAGGUGUGGUUCGCUUCGUAUUAGGAUUUACUCCGAAAGCGAAGAAACUUACAACAAAGAGUCCCUCCCGACUGUUUACCAAAAACACAGCACUCUGCUAACUCGUAAGAGGAUGUAUAGGGUGUGACGCCUGCCCGGUGCUCGAAGGUUAAUUGAUGGGGUUAGCAUUAGCGAAGCUCUUGAUCGAAGCCCGAGUAAACGGCGGCCGUAACUAUAACGGUCCUAAGGUAGCGAAAUUCCUUGUCGGUUAAAUACCGACCUGCAUGAAUGGCGUAACGAGAUGGGAGCUGUCUCAAAGAGGGAUCCAGUGAAAUUGUAGUGGAGGUGAAAAUUCCUCCUACCCGCGGCAAGACGGAGAGACCCCGUGGACCUUUACUACAGCUUGACACUGCUAUUUGGAUAAGAAUGUGCAGGAUAGGUGGGAGGCUUUGAGUAUAUGACGCCAGUUGUAUAUGAGCCAUUGUUGAGAUACCACUCUUUCUUAUUUGGGUAGCUAACCAGCUUGAGUUAUCCUCAAGUGGGACAAUGUCUGGUGGGUAGUUUGACUGGGGCGGUCGCCUCCCAAAUAAUAACGGAGGCUUACAAAGGUUGGCUCAGAACGGUUGGAAAUCGUUCGUAGAGUAUAAAGGUAUAAGCCAGCUUAACUGCAAGACAUACAAGUCAAGCAGAGACGAAAGUCGGUCUUAGUGAUCCGGUGGUUCUGUGUGGAAGGGCCAUCGCUCAAAGGAUAAAAGGUACCCCGGGGAUAACAGGCUGAUCUCCCCCAAGAGCUCACAUCGACGGGGAGGUUUGGCACCUCGAUGUCGGCUCAUCGCAUCCUGGGGCUGGAGCAGGUCCCAAGGGUAUGGCUGUUCGCCAUUUAAAGCGGUACGCGAGCUGGGUUCAGAACGUCGUGAGACAGUUCGGUCCCUAUCUGCCGUGGGCGUAAGAAGAUUGAAGAGAUUUGACCCUAGUACGAGAGGACCGGGUUGAACAAACCACUGGUGUAGCUGUUGUUCUGCCAAGAGCAUCGCAGCGUAGCUAAGUUUGGAAAGGAUAAACGCUGAAAGCAUCUAAGCGUGAAGCCAACUCUAAGAUGAAUCUUCUCUAAGCUCUCUAGAAGACUACUAGUUUGAUAGGCUGGGUGUGUAAUGGAUGAAAGUCCUUUAGCUGACCAGUACUAAUAGAGCGUUUGGCUUAUCUUUAAUAAAGCAU